UAGGGAAUAUUGCACAAUGGGCGCAAGCCUGAUGCAGCAACGCCGCGUGAGGGACGAAGGCCUUCGGGUCGUAAACCUCUUUUCUGGGGGACGAGUAAGGACGGUACCCCAGGAAUAAGUCUCGGCUAACUACGUGCCAGCAGCCGCGGUAAAACGUAGGAGGCGAGCGUUAUCCGGAUUUACUGGGCGUAAAGCGUACGCAGGUGGCUUCGUUAGUCGGACAUGAAAGCUCCUGGCUUAACUGGGAGAGGUUGUUCGAUACUGCGGGGCUUGAGGUUGGGAGAGGGACGUGGAAUUCCCGGUGUAGUGGUGGAAUGCGUAGAUAUCGGGAGGAACACCAGUGGCGCAAGCGGCGUCCUGGCCCACACCUGACGCUGAGGUACGAAAGCGUGGGUAGCAAACAG
Molecule: ribosomal RNA, 404 nt
Filed under: uncultured bacterium
Lineage: Bacteria
Description: bacterial SSU rRNA
Rfam family: Bacterial small subunit ribosomal RNA
Source: RNAcentral